This 551-nucleotide long non-coding RNA is filed under the name Homo sapiens (human). RNAcentral describes it as "non-protein coding lnc-ABI1-5:4". The record is from RNAcentral. Lineage: Eukaryota; Metazoa; Chordata; Mammalia; Primates; Hominidae.
AGUCACCAACCCUCUACUUGGUCCUUUGCAAUCCUUUCCAGACCUUCUGUGGUCUCCUGUCACACAGGGCUCACCUGGGGGGACCCUGAUGGCCAGAUUCUCUUGAACAGUCUCUAGGGACAUAUUGGGUAUUGCUAUACCUUCAUCCAUUGAACAGUUUUCCAGUGGCUCCAUAAUAUGUGAUAUCACAACAGAUUGAAUGCAGAAACAGAACAAAUGAAGCAUCCAUUAACUUCGAAUGAUCAGAUGCUAGGGUGUGAGGAAUUUUCAGGCCAAAAUGCACUGGGUUAUUGUCUCCUAUUGACAGUGUGAUAUUACAGAUAACCUCUAGGAGAUCCUGAACAUAUUCAGGCUAAACCAGGCAAACAAACAUUCAGGAUGUUACCAGUGUGGAAAACCCCUAGGAGAGACAGCCAAAAUUAAGACUGAUGGAGAAAUUUCCCCCAGCAAUACCACUUAAAAAUAUGUAUUUUUUACUUUAAUUGCCUGGUAUUAAGUUUUCUGCAGGAAUACAAAUAAAAUUGCUUGUAUGGCUUUGAGAAACUACAGUU